Molecule: ribosomal RNA, 43 nt
Filed under: Elenkiniana gloriae
Lineage: Eukaryota; Fungi; Ascomycota; Lecanoromycetes; Teloschistales; Teloschistaceae
Description: partial 28S ribosomal RNA
Source: RNAcentral
UUGACCUCUGAUCAGGUAGGAUACCCGCUGAACUUAAGCAUAU